CAUUACGGUGUGCAGGUUUUUUUCGAUGGUCUGGCGCCCCUUUGAAAUGCAUCCCACUCUUUCUCAGCUGGUGGUGAGCAGGGAGAAAUCGACGAUGACCCAUAUAGACGACCUUCUUACAAUGCUUCAAGUACAUGCUGUCUGUGUCGUCUAAACAGUGGGUGCAUGCCCGAUAUCCCUUAUUUGUCUGUCCUGAAAGGUUACUCAAUGCAGGCCAAUCAUUGAUGGUUACGAACAACAAUGCUCGUAGAUUAAAGAUCUCUUGUCUAUCCUCAUCCCAC
RNAcentral lists this long non-coding RNA (281 nucleotides) under Setaria viridis. RNAcentral describes it as "long non-coding RNA (SVIR_LNC004198)". Lineage: Eukaryota; Viridiplantae; Streptophyta; Magnoliopsida; Poales; Poaceae. The record is from RNAcentral.